This is a long non-coding RNA of Sarcophilus harrisii (Tasmanian devil), 580 nucleotides long. RefSeq lists it as uncharacterized. Lineage: Eukaryota; Metazoa; Chordata; Mammalia; Dasyuromorphia; Dasyuridae. The transcript is spliced from 2 exons. The record is from RefSeq and is a predicted model, not a curated record.
GUUUGUGACCUUCAGGAACAGAAGUGUUGGUCACUGAGGGGCAAGAUGUCCUCAGCAGCAGUUUCUGCUCCUUUCCUUGCUAGGGUGACUGACGGGAAAGAAGGGGCUCCGUGGGACCAGGAUGCCUAGAGCCGGGGAAGCGUUUGGCAGAGUCGCCUGCAUGACCCUGCGGAUAAUAUAAGAGCCUCACUAGUGAAUUCAGAAAUGGCGGGAUAGCAGAGCCCAAAGAGCCAUCAACAAAUGGAUCAACCUGUAAAGUCUCCUCUGAGCCUCAUCCGCAGGAACUACACAGUGACUGACAUCAUCAAGAUGGGGCUGGCUGCCAUGGCCCUCACUGCCUUGGGGGCUCUGCUGGCAGAGGACUGGUACAGCCAGAACCGGACCAAGAAGGGUUCGGGCGGGACUCUCAACAAGAAGCUGCCCAGGGGCAAGAAGAAGGUAUAAUUUGGUUCAGCCUCACUGGGAAGUCUGGAGCGGGGGGCAGGCAGGGAGGGGAGACUUCCCCAGCCCUGACGGGGUCCCCCGCCCUCUGUAACCCUCUGUACCUCCUCCCUGUGUGAGCCAUAAACUUUCUCGGAGC